This 774-nucleotide long non-coding RNA is filed under the name Nicotiana benthamiana. RNAcentral's name for it is "long non-coding RNA (NBEN_LNC005974)". The record is from RNAcentral. Lineage: Eukaryota; Viridiplantae; Streptophyta; Magnoliopsida; Solanales; Solanaceae.
UUGCUUUCAUUUUCUGAUUAAUAAAAUUCUCUCUCUUCUAGAGAGUUCUCUCUACUGCUCCUCCUUCUCUCUAAAUUCUCUCACUAUAUUCUCCAUGAUUCUUCAGUUUAAAUCUCAAAGUUUUCAUGGUAUCAGAGCAUAGACGAUGAUCUGACUAUGUUUUUCUGCAUCUUGUUUUCUUGGUUGAAGUAUCCUUUGAGAUUUUUGGGGGUGUUUCUGACGUAUGUGGUCGAUGACGAUUCCGAUCUAAAUCGGAUGCUUUUCUGAGACUUUCAUCGUGAUAUCUGAGUAUAUCUUCUUCACUCGAACGUUCUGGGAGAUUUUCUGAUGAUUUUGGGUGAUUUUUCGGUGACUUAUCAGCUUCUAGGGUUUCUGUUGGUUGAACCUAGGGUUUAACUGCUAUCUGAUGGCUCGAUCCUCACUCAGUGGAUGUUUUGGGUGACUUUCCGACAUCCCUGACCAUAUUUCCUUAUCUUGAAGUAUUGUAUGCUUUGUGUGUGAUUAUCUAACUCCGUAUGUGAGUAUCUGGUUUUGUGUGUGAAUAUCUAGUUUGGUUAUACUCUACUUGUAGAAACUGUUCUUUUAAGCCGGUUCAUUGAUUAUGGCUUCUAAUACGAAUGCUGGUACCUCCUCCUCGGUAGACUCUACCAGCCCCCUCUUUGUAUGCUCCUCUGAUGUCCCUGGGGUCUCUCUUGUCCCCACUCCCUUCUGGGGAAGUGGUUAUGGGGGUUGGAGGAGAAAAAUGAUUGUUGCAUUAUCUGCUAAAAACAAAAU